RNAcentral lists this ribosomal RNA (1359 nucleotides) under Scolytinae sp. BMNH 1043133. Its description in RNAcentral is "16S ribosomal RNA". The stretch from base 1053 to 1211 matches the Rfam family "Archaeal large subunit ribosomal RNA", at positions 2542 to 2701 of the family's 2987-position model. Lineage: Eukaryota; Metazoa; Arthropoda; Insecta; Coleoptera; Curculionidae. The record is from RNAcentral.
GAUUUGAAAAUUAAAUUAAAUUAUUAUUAUUAUUAUUAUAUUAUUAAUUUAUUAGAAGUAAAUUUGGUUAUUAUUUUUUAUAAAUAAUUAUAUUUAUUAUAGUUAAUUUUUACUGUGAGGGAAAAUUUUAUAAUAAAAAAAGAAAGUUUAGUUGGCUGUACCUUGUGUAUCAGGGUUGAUUAAUUUCUAUCUUUAUUUAAAGUAUUUUCGAAUUAAGAAGAGUUAUAAAUUUAUUUUUUUUAUUGUUAAAUAAAUAUUAUUAAUAAAUUUAUUGAAGUGAAACGCUAUUCGAUUCUUAAUAUAUCUAGUUUCUUAAGAAAUAAGUUUAAUUUAUUUUUUUUUAUUAAUUUUAUUUUUGAUUAUACAGUUAAUAUAAAAAUAUUAUAAUAUAUGGGUUGAGCUUUAUAUUUUAUUUAUAUAAUAAAAUAUGUUCUAUGUUAAAGUAUUAGAAUUAAAAGUUUUUUUAAGUGAGUUAUUUCUGGUUUAAUAUUUAAUUUUAUUUUUAUUUUAUUUAUGUAUUUUAUUAAGAUUAUUGUAUAAAUAUAUAUACUAUUUUGUAAUAAUGAUUAAAUUAGUAAAAACAGAAAUUUGUAUGAUGAUUUAGUUUGUUAGACAAAUUAUAAAGGAAUUCGGCAAUUUUAUUUUUUACCUGUUUAUUAAAAACAUGGCCUUUUGAGUUUAUUUAAGGUUUAGCCUGCCCAAUGAUUAAUAUGAUUUAAUGGCCGCAGUAUUUUAACUGUGCAAAGGUAGCAUAAUCAUUAGUUUUUUAAUUGAAAGCUGGAAUGAAGGGCUGGAUAAGAAAAUAACUGUCUCUAUUUUGUUUAUAUUGAAUUUUAUUAUUAAGUGAAAAGGCUUAAAUAUUUAAUGAAGACGAGAAGACCCUAUAGAGUUUUAUAGUUAUUAUUUUGUAAAUUAUUAGGAUAGUUUUGUUUACUUUAUAUUAAUUAUUUAAUUGGGGUGAUUAAAAAAUUUAAACAACUUUUUUUAAAUUUAAACAUUUUUUUAUGAAUUUUUGAUCCUUUAUAUAGAUUAUAAGAAUAAAUUACCUUAGGGAUAACAGCGUUAUUUCUUUUUAGAGUUCAAAUCGAGAAAGAAGAUUGCGACCUCGAUGUUGGAUUAAAAUUUUUUUUUGGUGUAGAAGCUAAAAAAAUGAGUCUGUUCGACUUUUAAAAUUUUACAUGAUCUGAGUUUAAACCGGUGUAAGCCAGGUUGGUUUCUAUCUCUUUAAUAUUAUUAUAGUUUAGUACGAAAGGACCAAUUAUGAAAUAAAAUAUUUUAUAAUAGAAUAUUAUUAAGUUGGUUAUUUUGGCAGAUGAAGUGCAAUUGAUUUAGGUUCUUUUUAUAUAAGUUUUCUUAUAA